GAUGAAGAACGUAGUGAAAUGCGAUACUUGGUGUGAAUUGCAGAAUCCCGCGAAUCAUCGAGUCUUUGAACGCAAGUUGCGCCCGAAGCCAUUUGGUCGAGGGCACGUCUGCCUGGGUGUCACGCAUCGUUGCCCCCAACCCCAUUGCUUCGCCAAGAGACGAGGGCGGUUUGUGGGGCGGACAUUGGCCUCCCGUGAGCUUUUGAUUGUGGCUGGCCUAAAAGGGAGUCCUCGGCGACGAGCGCCACGACAAUCGGUGGUUGACAAACCCUCGUGUCCCGUCGUGCGUGCCUUGUCGCUCAUCUCGUGCUCUGUGACCCUAUAGUGUUGCGCUUGCGACUCUUCCAAGGCGACCCCAGGUCAGGCGGGACUACCCGCUGAAUUUAAGCAUAUCAAUAAGCGGAGGA
RNAcentral lists this unclassified non-coding RNA (407 nucleotides) under soil metagenome. RNAcentral's name for it is "partial contains 5.8S ribosomal RNA, internal transcribed spacer 2, and large subunit ribosomal RNA". The stretch from base 1 to 122 matches the Rfam family "5.8S ribosomal RNA", at positions 35 to 154 of the family's 154-position model. The record is from RNAcentral.